RNAcentral lists this ribosomal RNA (266 nucleotides) under uncultured prokaryote. RNAcentral's name for it is "partial 16S ribosomal RNA". It matches the Rfam family "Bacterial small subunit ribosomal RNA", at positions 524 to 788 of the family's 1533-position model. The record is from RNAcentral.
UACGUAGGGGGCAAGCGUUAUCCGGAAUUAUUGGGCGUAAAGCGCGCGCAGGCGGCCGGUUAAGUCAGGUGUGAAAGGCUGCGGCUCAACCGCAGAGUUGCAUCUGAAACUGGUCGGCUUGAGUGCAGGAGAGGGGAGCGGAAUUCCCGGUGUAGCGGUGGAAUGCGUAGAGAUCGGGAGGAACACCAGUAGCGAAGGCGGUUCUCUGGGCCGGCACUGACGCUGAGGAGCGAAAGCGUGGGGAGCAAACAGGAUUAGAUACCCCU